UGAACAUGAAGAUAGUGAUACCAGAGGCAUGGAGCAUAAAUAAAAGAUCUUGAAAAUGAGAGAAGAAAGAUUGAAGAAGUAUGAAGGUGCUUAGGACGUUUUAGCAUGGAUAAAUAAGAGCUGUAAGCUGGAGGGGAAAAGGAAUUUUGAAAAAGAGAGCCUCUCCAAGGUUUUCACAGAGCAGGAAAAUAUUGAUAUCAGGGGUAAAGUGAAGACAAAGAUGCAGUUUGGCACAAUGCCAAGGAUCUAGCUGGAGUUAAAUCUCUUCCUGUUCUUGGUAAAGUAAUAGAUAGUGGAGCUGUUGUUUUGACUCCUCAAAGAUCAAAGCAUAUUUGCCAAUGAUGAUAUUAAUGAAAAGGCUGAUGUGCUAUAAAAUGUAGAGGUUAGAGAGCAAAAGCAGAGAGCAAAGGCUUACAAGUUACAAGGUUGCAAAAAUGGAUAGGAUAUAUGAGGACAAGUUCAGUAACGAGGAUGGUUCCCGAAAGAAAUGCUUCCAAGUAUGAUGAUCCUGUUGAAGAUGAGGGUGUGACCUUGAAUGAAAGUGGACACUUUAGUGGCAAAGCAGAGAAGAAGAUAGAAAAGCUCCUUAAAAGGAUAAAGGGAGCAUUUGAAAACAAUCACUC
Molecule: long non-coding RNA, 623 nt
Organism: Telopea speciosissima
Lineage: Eukaryota; Viridiplantae; Streptophyta; Magnoliopsida; Proteales; Proteaceae
Exons: 3
Source: RefSeq, a predicted model, not a curated record